GACGAACGCUGGCGGCGUGCUUAACACAUGCAAGUCGAACGGAGUGGCGAACGGGUGAGUAACACGUGGGUGAUCUGCCUUGCACUCUGGGAUAAGCUCGGGAAAAUGGGUUUAAUACUGGAUAGUGCAAGAUGAGCUCGCGGCCUAACAGCUUGUUGGUGGGGUAAUGGCCUACCAAGGCGUCGACGGGUAGCCGGCCUGAGAGGGUGUACGGCCACAUUGGGACCUAGGUACGGCCGAGACGCCGACGGGAGGAAGCAGUGGGGAAUAUUGAACAAUGUGCGGAAGCCUGAUGCAGCAACGCCGCGUGGGGGAUGACGGCCUUCGGGUUGUAGACUCCGUUCGACAGGGACGCGGUACCUGUAUAAGAAGCACCGGCUAACUACGUGCCAGCAGCCGCGGUAAUAC
This 408-nucleotide ribosomal RNA is filed under the name uncultured bacterium. Its description in RNAcentral is "partial 16S ribosomal RNA". It matches the Rfam family "Bacterial small subunit ribosomal RNA", at positions 28 to 526 of the family's 1533-position model. The record is from RNAcentral.